AUUGAACGCUGGCGGCAGGCCUAACACAUGCAAGUCGAGCGAGCGGCGGACGGGUGAGUAAUGUAUGGGGACUGCCCGAUAGAGGGGGAUAACUACUGGAAACGGUGGCUAAUACCGCAUACUAUCGGAUAACCCAUAUGGGAUUAGCUAGUAGGUGGGGUAAAGGCUCACCUAGGCGACGAUCUCUAGCUGGUCUGAGAGGAUGAUCAUCCAUACGGGGACUGAGACCCGGCCCAGACUGCUACGGAGGCAGCAGUGGGGAAUAUUGCGAAAUUGGGGCAAGCCUGGUGGAGCCAUGCAGCGUGUAUGAAGAAGGCCUUAGGGUUGUAAAGUACUUUCAGCGGGGAGGCGUGACCCGCUGAAGAAGCACCGGCUAACUCCGUGCCAGCAGCCGCGGUAAUUC
This 403-nucleotide ribosomal RNA is filed under the name uncultured bacterium. Its description in RNAcentral is "partial 16S ribosomal RNA". It matches the Rfam family "Bacterial small subunit ribosomal RNA", at positions 30 to 526 of the family's 1533-position model. The record is from RNAcentral.